CGGGCCCCGCCGCGGCAUGUCGGCCAUCCGCAGCUCGCUCAUCGACCCGGACGGCGGCGCGCUGGUCGACCUCGUGGCCCCGCCGGAGCGCCGCGCGGCGCUGCGGGCCGAGGCGGAGGCGCUCCCUCGGGUGCGGCUCGCGGCCGUCGACGUGGAGUGGGCGCACGUGCUCGCCGAGGGCUGGGCGUCGCCGCUGCGCGGGUUCAUGCGCGAGCAAGAGUACCUCCAGUGCCUCCACUUCAACUCGCUCCGCCUCCCCUCGGGCGGCCUCGCCAACAUGUCGCUCCCCAUCGUGCUCGCCCUCGACGACGCCGCCAAGGACCGCGUCGGGGCCGCCCCCGACGUCGCGCUCGCCGGGCCCGACGGCCAGCUCCUCGCCGUCCUCCGCAGUAUUGAAAUAUACCCUCACAAUAAAGAAGAAAGGAUUGCAAGAACAUGGGGGACAACCGCGCCUGGCUUACCUUAUGUCGACGAGGCGAUAACACCAGCUGGGAACUGGCUGAUUGGCGGUGACCUGGAGGUGUUGCAACCCAUCAAAUAUAACGAUGGCCUCGACCAUUACAGGCUUUCACCCCAGCAACUUAGGGACGAAUUCGACAAGCGUGGGGCUGAUGCUGUAUUUGCAUUCCAGUUGAGAAAUCCAGUCCACAAUGGGCAUGCACUGUUGAUGAAUGACACUAGAAGGCGUCUCCUGGAAAUGGGUUUCAAGAAUCCCAUUCUACUGCUACACCCCUUGGGUGGUUUUACAAAAGCUGAUGAUGUCCCACUGCCUGUUAGAAUGGAGCAACACAGCAAGGUCUUAGAAGAUGGAGUCCUUGACCCUGAGACCACUAUUGUGUCUAUAUUCCCCUCUCCAAUGCAUUAUGCUGGUCCAACAGAAGUGCAGUGGCAUGCGAAGGCACGAAUUAAUGCCGGUGCUAAUUUCUAUAUAGUGGGUCGUGAUCCAGCUGGGAUGGGCCAUCCAACAGAGAAGAGAGAUCUGUACAACCCAGACCAUGGGAAGAAGGUCCUAAGCAUGGCUCCCGGUUUGGAGAAACUCAACAUAUUGCCCUUCAAGGUAGCAGCAUAUGAUACGGUGGCGAAGAAGAUGGCUUUCUUUGAACCUUCACGCAGUCAAGAUUUUCUGUUCAUCUCAGGAACCAAGAUGCGCACUUUCGCCAAAACUGGAGAGAACCCUCCUGAUGGUUUCAUGUGCCCUGGUGGGUGGAAGGUUCUUGUUGACUACUACAAUAGCUUGCAAACCGAAGGAGCUACCGCCCCCGCCACCGCUACUGUAUGAGACAAGCUGCUGCAUGGCUUUGAGAUCAUUGAUUGGCCGAUUGAGCUGUAACCGCGCCGCAAAUUCUGUUAUUAUCGUGUGAUGACUCUGACAGUCCAACUAGCCAAUAAAGAAGUUCAUUGCAACUGUGGGAGCUCAUCCAAGAUCAGACUGCAAUUAAUCUCCAUAUUGUGACACAACGGAGUGGCAGAGUUGGCAUUGCGGUGGAUUAUUAGAUGAUGACAGUCCAACUUAUCAGUUUAGUUUUUGUACUAUAUUCAACAAAGCCUCACGAUUCAGGAUUUAAACAAAGAAAAUACUUAUAAUUAUCAAAGAAUCUGCAAAUAAGCUGAGUCUUUAGUAAGUGAUGGCAUCAGGCCAUUAUCAGAAAGUGUGUUGGAGUGUAACCAAGGACGAUGUUGGGUCGGCAUCCACGCCUUGUCACACUUUUCUAUCAAAGUGCGGAAAAGUGUCUGGUUGUAUCCACGGUCAUAGCAUGCCACACUUUCUUUAGUCACA
Molecule: ribosomal RNA, 1777 nt
Filed under: Triticum aestivum (bread wheat)
Lineage: Eukaryota; Viridiplantae; Streptophyta; Magnoliopsida; Poales; Poaceae
Description: partial small subunit ribosomal RNA
Source: RNAcentral